Molecule: ribosomal RNA, 424 nt
Filed under: uncultured bacterium
Lineage: Bacteria
Description: bacterial SSU rRNA
Rfam family: Bacterial small subunit ribosomal RNA
Source: RNAcentral
AGGGAAUCUUCCGCAAUGGACGAAAGUCUGACGGAGCAACGCCGCGUGAGUGAUGAAGGUUUUCGGAUCGUAAAGCUCUGUUGCCAGGGAAGAACGUCCUGUAGAGUAACUGCUACAGGAGUGACGGUACCUGAGAAGAAAGCCCCGGCUAACUACGUGCCAGCAGCCGCGGUAAUACGUAAGGGGCAAGCGUUGUCCGGAAUUAUUGGGCGUAAAGCGCGCGCAGGCGGCUGUUUAAGUCUGGUGGUUAAUCCUGGGGCUCAACCCUAGGUCGCACUGGAAACUGGGCAGCUUGAGUGCAGAAGAGGAGAGUGGAAUUCCACGUGUAGCGGUGAAAUGCGUAGAGAUGUGGAGGAACACCAGUGGCGAAGGCGACUCUCUGGGCUGUAACUGACGCUGAGGCGCGAAAGCGUGGGGAGCAAAC